AUACGGAGGGGGCUAGCGUUGUUCGGAAUUACUGGGCGUAAAGCGCGCGUAGGCGGCUUGGUAAGUCGGAUGUGAAAGCCCUGGGCUCAACCUGGGAACUGCAUUCGAAACUGCAUGGCUAGAGUAUGGGAGAGGGAAGUGGAAUUUCCGGUGUAGCGGUGAAAUGCGUAGAUAUCGGAAGGAACACCAGUGGCGAAGGCGACUUCCUGGCCCAAUACUGACGCUGAGGUGCGAAAGCGUGGGGAGCAAACAGGAUUAGAAACCCCAGUAGUCC
This 274-nucleotide ribosomal RNA is filed under the name uncultured bacterium. RNAcentral's name for it is "partial 16S ribosomal RNA". It matches the Rfam family "Bacterial small subunit ribosomal RNA", at positions 523 to 796 of the family's 1533-position model. The record is from RNAcentral.